RNAcentral lists this non-coding RNA (31 nucleotides) under Homo sapiens (human). The record is from RNAcentral. Lineage: Eukaryota; Metazoa; Chordata; Mammalia; Primates; Hominidae.
UGAUAAAGAGUCAGAUCACUGAGCUCUGCCA